Molecule: ribosomal RNA, 382 nt
Filed under: uncultured bacterium
Lineage: Bacteria
Description: bacterial SSU rRNA
Rfam family: Bacterial small subunit ribosomal RNA
Source: RNAcentral
AUUGAACGCUGGCGGCAUGCUUUACACAUGCAAGUCGAACGGCAGCGCGGGGGCAACCCUGGCGGCGAGUGGCGAACGGGUGAGUAAUGUAUCGGAACGUAUCCUGUAAUGGGGGAUAACCAGUCGAAAGAUUGGGUAAUACCGCAUACGCACGAGAGUGGAAAGUAGGGGAUCGCAAGACCUUACGUUAUAGGAGCGGCCGAUAUCUGAUUAGCUAGUUGGUGGGGUAAAGGCCUACCAAGGCGACGAUCAGUAGCUGGUCUGAGAGGAUGAUCAGCCACACUGGGACUGAGACACGGCCCAGACUCCUACGGGAGGCAGCAGUGGGGAAUUUUGGACAAUGGGCGAAAGCCUGAUCCAGCCAUGCCGCGUGCGGGAAGAA